This 212-nucleotide ribosomal RNA is filed under the name uncultured bacterium. Its description in RNAcentral is "partial 16S ribosomal RNA". It matches the Rfam family "Bacterial small subunit ribosomal RNA", at positions 124 to 334 of the family's 1533-position model. The record is from RNAcentral.
ACCUGCCGUCUACUCUUGGCCAGCCUUCUGAAAGGAAGAUUAAUCCAGGAUGGCAUCAUGAGUUCACAUGUCCGCAUGAUUAAAGGUAUUUUCCGGUAGACGAUGGGGAUGCGUUCCAUUAGAUAGUAGGCGGGGUAACGGCCCACCUAGUCAACGAUGGAUAGGGGUUCUGAGAGGAAGGUCCCCCACAUUGGAACUGAGACACGGUCCAA